AGGUCCGGGUUAACACGGCGGCUGCGCUGUCACAUAGCUUCCCCGCCAGAGUGAUGGGAGCACAGUGAGCGCGAGAGCACAAGACUGCGGCCGGAGCCUGUCGCUGCUCGGACGGUUGUCAAGGUGAACAAAUAAAGCGCACUACGUCCGGACAGAUUUCAAAAUAAGGGUCUGUUCUUUUCGUGUGAUCUGGAACUGAACAGCUUUCAGUUUAUGACGGGACGUGUCCUUUACAAACUUAUUUUAAUUCUAGACUGUAUGUCUCGCCAGAACCUUUUACACCUAGAUUUGUGCCAAAAUUAGUCAUAACUGUACAAGUUUGUGGUAUUAUUUUUAGGUACACAGGAUGUUUGUAUUUGUUUUGUCGCGCUUGAACUUUGCUGGGCUGCAGUUCCUAAUUAUCCCCACUGCCGCUGUUGAUGGGCCCCCUGCAAACAGACGCUAUGCUGCCCCCUAGUGGUAGAACGAGGUCAAGAUCAGCGCCUACACAACGAGCAGCAGUUCACGGUUCCUGCUGUCCUAAAGAAGCACAAUAUAUUCUCAAGGACCCACAUCCUGAACACCUGAAGGUCCAGCUCAAUCAAAACCAGGACAAAAAAACUAAGUAAAGGUUUUCAUCCCAUAGCAAUAACACUAAAAAUUGUAAAGAACGAACCACAGGAUUGAACUGUAGAAGAGUGUUUGUGAGCGAGUGUGUGUCUGCUGCAUUUGGGCUGGUCCAGUGUGCUGGGCCGGGCUCUGUUCACUUGAUGAUAAAACUCUGUUUUAAAUGGAAGGUCACAUGCUUCAGCCUUGUGGUGCAGUAGUCUAAAACCUGACUUUCUGCGUAUAACUCUGCACAGCGGCUGGGUUUAUGAGUGGAGCAGUAGCUUUAGGCCACCGACAGGUGGCGACGUUGGAUGCAGAAAAAGGCUGUUGAUGAUCACAACUCGACAAUGCCUUCAGUCAAAGCUUACAGUUUCACUGAUUUUACUCCAAGACUAGGUGAAAGCAACUGAGUACAAUUAAUCCUAAAUGUUCUUUUAGUAUAACACAAAGACAAAACCUGUAGCAGUUUAUAAUGAUGGGAUGCAUAUAUUUACCUUCAAAAUAUGAUUCACUUUGUAAUAUAAAUGCACAUAUGACAGGAUGCAGGUCUUUUAUGAUUAUACUCCACUCGAGCCCCAGUUAGUGGCGACACAAUCUGUCUUCAUCGCUGCCACAGUGAUGAAGACAGAUUUCUGUUUGUGAGGAGUGCAUUGCUUCAAGGGGAUAAUAAUAAAGUUGUGUGACAUCUCCUUGGUCA
This 1285-nucleotide long non-coding RNA is filed under the name Betta splendens (Siamese fighting fish). RNAcentral's name for it is "lncRNA (ENSBSLG00000004292.1)". Lineage: Eukaryota; Metazoa; Chordata; Actinopteri; Anabantiformes; Osphronemidae. The record is from RNAcentral.